GGAGUUAGCCGGUGCUUCUUCUGUGAGUGAUGUCCUUCCUGCCGGCUAUUAACCCGCAGGCCUUCUUCCUCACUGAAAGUGCUUUACAACCCGAAGGCCUUCUUCACACACGCGGCAUGGCUGGAUCAGGGUUGCCCCCAUUGUCCAAUAUUCCCCACUGCUGCCUCCCGUAGGAGUCUGGGCCGUGUCUCAGUCCCAGUGUGGCUGAUCAUCCUCUCAGACCAGCUACGGAUCGUCGCCUUGGUGAGCCGUUACCUCACCAACCAGCUAAUCCGACAUAGGCUCAUCCGAUAGCGCGAGGCCCGAAGGUCCCCCGNUUUCCCCCGUAGGGCGUAUGCGGUAUUAGCCUGGGUUUCCCCCAGGUUAUCCCCCACUACCGGGCAGGAUUCCUAUGCAUUACUCACCCGUCCGCCGCUCGCCACCAGGGAGCAAGCUCCCCGUGCUGCCGNUCGACUUGCAUGUGUAGCNGCGCCAGCGUCAUCUGAGCAGAGUACAACUCUGA
Molecule: ribosomal RNA, 502 nt
Filed under: uncultured bacterium
Lineage: Bacteria
Description: partial 16S ribosomal RNA
Source: RNAcentral